This is a long non-coding RNA of Homo sapiens (human), 1371 nucleotides long. Lineage: Eukaryota; Metazoa; Chordata; Mammalia; Primates; Hominidae. The record is from Ensembl.
AUUUACAGAGGUAGGGAAAUCUGAAUAGCAGUUGCUUAUUGUUCUUAUUUUGUUUAGAAAUCAGGAGUGCCAUUUUGAACAGCCUGUAUUUGAGAUCCAAUGGGUAGGCGUUAAGUAGACAUUUGUAAACAUAGCUAUCUAACUCAGAGGAGAGGUCGGGCUGAUGAUGUGCUUUUAGGAGUCAUCAGAAUGUAGAUGAUAUUUAAAGCUGCAGAUUGUAUAUGUUCACUUGGAGAGAGUAUGUCGCCAAAGAAGAGGGCAGAGAAGAAGCAAUCGGCAAAGAAGACAGAAGGAAUAGGCAAGAGGUUGCAGGGAAACCAGGAGAAUUAGAAACUAAUAAUGAAUGAAUCAUCAUAUCGGAUAGUGUUACCAUCAAGAAUUUUUAAAAAGCCAUUUUUACCAAAGGAAAUAAACAAGACAGAAAUACAUUAAUUCUCAUUCCAGCAUGACAUGAGGAAGAAUGCUUACUGUUUGACAAAUUGAAAAACAAAGGAUCUUUGGAGAGAUAAAAAUGAAAUUUGUAACCUUCUAAGAGGAUGUGGGGUUUUUUUUUCCUCUCCUUUUUUUCUUCUCUACUCAUGCCUUGGAUUUUCUGCUUUCAUUCAUUUGUGACAGUGAACUCUAUUGAAAGUGACUUUUCCCUUUCUUCUUUUAAUAGAGAGAAGAGCUGGAGGUUACUAAGCCUCUGGGGUUCUCUGUGUCUUGAGCUAGAGAAGAGGUUCUUUGCUUGUUACCUGUAUGGGCUUCAGUGGGUUUAUGGAGUCCCUGAAAUCACAUGCAAAAUAUUGUGUGUGGGAAUGUGUGAGUGUUUUUUUUGGGAAGAGUUCCCCUAGUUUUCAUCAUUGACUCAGGAUGCUGUGACUCUGAAAGGGUAACAAACAUUGCUCUAAGAAAGAAAAAGCCCCUUUGAAUUGCAAUCCAGUCACCUGAGCACCAAAGCAGUCACACUGGCUUUAAAUCAAAAAGGUUGUUCGAGAGAAGACGCAUGGUUGGAGUCAACAUGCUAUUACUUGUUAUUAUAAACAACAAAUAGAUUGCUUUUGAGUACUGUACUAUAAAUAAUGCAUUUAAAGAGAACUUUAUUGUUUCCAAAUCACUUUUAUCUAUAUUUACUCAUUUAAAAAAUCACAAUAAUCCCCUGCUGAGGUUAGAUAUUAUAAUUAUUGUUAUCCCCAAUUUAGAGCUAAGCUCUGGGUGAUUGAAAGAUUCAGAGAUGAGCUCCUCUCUCAUAAAUGAUUGGACUCGAAGUGGGUAUCUGCCUCGAACUAGGUCAGAGGGUCCUCUAUGUGAAUCUAGAAUUGUGACCAAAACCCAAACUGUCUGCCCCACAGUGCUUGGAGAUGUUUGUCUUCUACCUAUUAUAAUCAGCAA